AUUUUUAUGUUUCCAGUCUUAUUUUUAAUAUUUCUAAAGUACGGAAAAUAUCAAACGAAGAGAUAACCAAGUUAAAGGAAAACAAUGAAGAAUUCCUAAUCAUACCGAUAGUAUUAAAGAAUGAAGUCUUCAAAAUUAACAGAAUAACCGAACUCCACUACCUACCCCAUAAUGCGAGGUUUACAGUAAUUAUUCAACUUACAUGAAGCAGUCAGAAAGUUUAUUGAGAUUUGAGAAAUAAAGUUACACUCAUAAGUAGCAAAACAGUGGAUGAAGAAGUGUGGGAUUAUGAGUGAUUAUUUCAUUCUAAAGCAGACAUAAUCAAGUCUUGCUCACUAUCAUGAAAAUUUACAAUAACAAUCAGCAAGAAAAACUUCAAGGGUACUGGCUAGGCUAACCAAUUCAUGGAAUUCUGUUUGUAUUUGAAAUUAUAAAUAGCUAUUGUAAAACAAAAGUUUUCCAAAUAAAGAUUUUGUAAAUAAUGGUUGAAUUAUUUUGAAAUUACACUGCAAUAAUGAAUUUAUUGCCUGCGUCCAGCGCCUUUCUGCUACCAUUAUGAUGUCGUCGGUCCACCUUGUGGGUGGACGUCCCACGCUGCGUAUUCCGGUACCCGGCCUCCACCCCAGAACCUUGCUGCCCCAUCGGGCAACAUGGAAAGCAUUGGGGGAGGCCUAAGUUCAGCAGUGGACGUCCUAUGGCUGAGAUGAUGAUGAAUUUAUUAUAAUGGAAUAAAUUGUACAAGAUUAUCAUCCUGUCACAUUAAAGCCCUUAAAAAAGACCACAUGGAGGAAUUAGAUUGAUAGUAAUGUGGAAUGUAUGUAUGGUAUCACCAUCAAGUUAUAAAAUUAGUAAAAUUCAUUUAUUCUCAUUGUUAUUAUAGCAAGUUUGAUUACACAUCCCACCCAAUGCUAAUUUCUGACAAUGACCUUGCCACUGUUUGAUGUAGACACAAGAAGCUCGGUCACCACAUUCCGCCCCAUUUUCAAUAAUUUUACAAGAUUAUGUACAGAUGACAGUAGGUACUUAAAUCAAGCUAAACACUGUGGGGUAUCUCACGACAUUUGCAACUUAAUAUGUAUUGUCUGAUGUACUGUUGACUGCCUACCUAAGUAGGUAAGUAAUGGUUAUUUUACAAGGUAGGUAAUGUAAUAAUUAAUAUGUGGGUGGGACUGUGGGAGCACUAAGAUUUUGCAGCUAGCGAUUAUAAACUGUCGCAAGAUUCGCCUCACACUGAUAAACUCUUGAACUAGAACUCAAUCUCCACCUAGAA
Ostrinia furnacalis (Asian corn borer) is the source of this 1270-nucleotide long non-coding RNA. RefSeq lists it as uncharacterized. The transcript has 2 exons. The record is from RefSeq and is a predicted model, not a curated record. Lineage: Eukaryota; Metazoa; Arthropoda; Insecta; Lepidoptera; Crambidae.